This is a long non-coding RNA of Amphiprion ocellaris (clown anemonefish), 934 nucleotides long. The record is from Ensembl. Lineage: Eukaryota; Metazoa; Chordata; Actinopteri; Pomacentridae.
ACUGACAACGGAGCAGCCAUCAGGACCUUUGGGACGGAGGAAGACGACUUUACCUCCACUGAAACAAGAAAUAACUCUUUCUUCCCUCUCAGGCACUGCAACCGCUGGCCCUUCAAAUUGGCCACACACGCACUGCCAAUCAAAUUGCCAUGGGCAGGAACUGCAGAGAUGGGGAUGUCCACCAGUUUUUUACAACCGGCCAGACAGGCACCAGCAGAAUGAUUCAGGGAGGAUUUCUGGAGGCCCAGAUAUCUCUCACUCAACAGACUCAUCAGCAUCGUCAAACUCACCUCAGACAAGCCAGAGACAAGAGAAGACAUAAAGCUGUCUACACAGCCACUGUUCGAAGCCCCAAUGCCGAAGGGAUCCAAAGGCUGAAACUCGUGAGAAGGCCCACAGAGAAGGACAUCUUCUGGGAUGAGACCACAGGACAAAGGUUGGACCCCAACUGCCUCCUGAAGCCAGAAUCUCUCUUUGAUGAAGAGACAGAAGAAGCAGCCGAACAAACAGCUUCCGUGCACUGCAGAUAGAAGAAGAGACUGAGCUCAUGGUCUUAAAAGCAGGAAGUAAGAAAUGUUCAACAAACUGGACAUCGGGGACUUUUUUUUUUUAGAUAAAGACGUAUCACAGACAAGUGAAAGGAAAACAGUGAGGAGACGGCUGUAGCUAAGUGCAGAGACGUAGUUGGAUGUGAGCUGAGUCUGCUUGAAGCAGUCAGACAGGGAGGAUAAGAGGAACAACAGGGAUCCUGGACUGUAAGCUGCAGCAAGAGCACUUUGUAUUGAGUAAUCAGGAUUAGAACAGAUAAAACAUAAAGUCAGAUGAUGCCAAUUAAUUACUAAAUAGCUAUUGCACAACUUGGCAAAGACAAAUCUACAUUAAAAAAUUCAAGCUUUCUGAAACGAUCAUGUUCUGUUGCUUCUUUUAUGGUUAG